Hydractinia symbiolongicarpus is the source of this 2150-nucleotide long non-coding RNA. RefSeq lists it as uncharacterized. The record is from RefSeq and is a predicted model, not a curated record. The transcript has 2 exons. NCBI's taxonomy places the organism in Eukaryota, Metazoa, Cnidaria, Hydrozoa, Anthoathecata, Hydractiniidae.
ACGAAAACAAAUAAUACAACUUGAACUUUGUAAAUACGAGACAGAAAGAAAUAAAGAUUUGUGAAUGUUACAAGUUAUUUUAAGUGUAAAAUUAUUUUGAAGUAAACAAACAUAUAAACAUGCUUAAAUCUUUAUUAUACUUAUUUCUACAUACAUUAAAUAUACACCAUUUUUAAAGUAAUCUUAAACGUAGGGGAAUUGGACAGGAAUUGAAUAAAUACUAAAAAAGGAUAACUGGAAAUGAUUGAGAAAAUUUGAUAAAAUAAUUAUUUAUUCUACUUUGGCUGGAAACUUGAAAGUGCAAUGUUUGUAUAUGGAAGAAAAAUACACUUUGAAUUGAGUCAUAUUUCCUGUGUUUGGGAGAUACCAAUUUAAUUAACAAUACUUUCUCACGAAGAACGAUGAUGAAUGGAAAGCACGGUGGCAAGAUCUUCUUGAAAGAUCAUAUGAUGAACAAAGAAAUUACGUAGUUUGGUCAUAAGACAUUUAAUUUUAGCUAGCUAACAUUAAAGCGGGGGAGUUAACAAAAACCACAAUGCAACACUGGUAAUUGAGUUUGGUAUUCUUGCUUGUUAAUUUGCUAAUUUUAAAAGAUAUAAUUACUCUUCAGUGAAUAUAUUUAGAAUUUUUUAUAUUAACUUGGAAAUUGGAUCCAACUGAACUGUCAAAAUAUGAACGGGAAACCAACCACUGUAUUAACUACUGAGAAUUUACUUGCAUACCACCACUAGUACCAUUCCAUUGCUUUCCUUUGUUCAUUCAUUUAGUCAUUCAUUUAUUUAUUCCUGACUUUCUUUCUACAGAAACAUGGUUACAAAAAAGUCUUUUAUUCAGUUUACAGCUUCAUUUUUUUAAAAGCAAAUCCACUUUUCAUGUCAGCCUUUAAAUUUUAGUUUGGCGACAAUUUUGAUUUCAAACUCGAAAUUCUUAAGGAAUGGCUAAGCGUACAUAUUUCAAGGUUUCAGCUUUGUACUAGCAGUUCUGCGUUUUAAUGUUCUUUUGUAGUUUGCUUGCCAGCCUGGUGAGUUGUUUAACGGUUGUUUAGUCUGUAGGGUAAAUCUCAGCCUCAGCCCUCACUACUAAGUUGCCAUAAGCUCGUGGAAUAUUAAAGAAAUUAAAAAAAUUAAUUUAUUAAUUAACAGUACGAUUAUCUACAAAGCAAUUAGGUGGGGCUUUAUAGUUAAGGAAAAAUAUAGUUAGAUAUCUCUAAGAUUUCCAUUUUAUUAGAUAAAUCAUUUUACUGUUUCCCACUCAUCGUUCUUCAGAUUGUUAUUUUAAAGAAUUUCGCUUGCAAGAACACUCUUUUAGAAUGAAAAAACUAAGCAUUUACACUCGAAUGAUCUUGUAUAAAAAAGAUGCUCGGGGCUAUUGCUUCUGGCUUCAUAAAGUUUCUUCGACCGCCAUCUUGAGUUUCUCAAUUAAAUUAACUUUUGAAGAAAGGAAGGAGAGGUGGAGGGGGUAAGUAUAUCUGUCUAAAUAAGGCAAGUCUUCAAUAUUUAGGAAAAACUGUUUCGAAAUAUUUUUUAUUUAUUUUAGAUUGUACUUUGUAGAAAUUACAAAGAAAUUAGCAGCCUUAAAUUAGAAAAACUCUCUUUUUUGUUAAGUUUCUUAUAAGGAAAAUAUCUCUUGUGUUUUGUUUCAAGUUCUUUAAACUUGGAUAACUUAGUGAAAAUUUUCUUAUAAGCCAGUUUCUUAUUUGAAAAAAAAAUUAAGUAGCUUGUUUGUCUUGAGAAAGUAAGUAGAAACUAGAACGAAAAAAAGAGAAGACCUAAAGGUAUACAAUUCGGCGUUGGGUGGAGAGAACAAGGAAGUGGUAAAAUUUGGUUCCAUCCACAAAUAAAUUAGUUUCUACCGUGUAAAAGAAUAGCGGUGUAUUAAAAAAAAGGGCAGAGAAAAGAGAACGACUCCAUUAUUAUUUAUCCCUUUUAUUUUUAAAAGACGCGAAUUUAAUUUCUUUGUAUCCUAUCAUAUAAUCAACACUUAAUCAAAUUAUAUCGAAACGGGCAGCGGUUACAGGCGCUUCGCUAAUCUUUUUCUCACAAUGUCUCGAAAUCACAUCUUUUGUUUUUGGUGUCGUACCAUUGUCUUGGUUUGGAAGGCGAUCUGAUUAAUUAUUUAUCAAAGCAGAAAACGUAAACAAGUGAUUAACU